This 666-nucleotide small RNA is filed under the name Pan troglodytes (chimpanzee). Its description in RNAcentral is "processed transcript". The record is from RNAcentral. Lineage: Eukaryota; Metazoa; Chordata; Mammalia; Primates; Hominidae.
UUUUUCUCAUCAAGAGGUCAUGACGCCAGUCAGAUCACACUAGCCUUGGGCACAGCUGCCUCCUACCCCAGGGCCUGCCAGGCUCUCGGGGCCAUGCUGUCCAAAGGAGCCCUGAACCCUGCUGACAUCACCGUCCUGUUCAAGAUGUUCACAAGCAUGGACCCUCCUCCGGUUGAACUCAUCCGCGUUCCAGCCUUCCUGGACCUGUUCAUGCAGUCACUCUUUAAGCCAGGGGCUCGGAUCAACCAGGACCACAAGCACAAAUACAUCCACAUCUUGGCGUACGCAGCAAGCGUGGUUGAGACCUGGAAGAAGAACAAGCGAGUGAGCAUCAAUAAAGAUGAGCUGAAGUCAACGUCAAAAGCUGUCGAAACCGUUCACAAUUUGUGUUGCAACGAGAACAAAGGGGCCUCUGAACUAGUGGCAGAAUUGAGCACACUUUAUCAGUGUAUUAGGUUUCCAGUGGUAGCAAUGGGUGUGCUGAAGUGGGUGGAUUGGACUGUAUCGGAACCAAGGUACUUUCAGCUGCAGACUGACCAUACCCCUGUCCACCUGGCGUUGCUGGAUGAGAUCAGCACCUGCCACCAGCUCCUGCACCCCCAGGUCCUGCAGCUGCUUGUUAAGCUUUUUGAGACUGAGCACUCCCAGCUGGACGUGAUGGAGCAG